This 253-nucleotide ribosomal RNA is filed under the name uncultured bacterium. Its description in RNAcentral is "partial 16S ribosomal RNA". It matches the Rfam family "Bacterial small subunit ribosomal RNA", at positions 524 to 776 of the family's 1533-position model. The record is from RNAcentral.
UACGUAGGGGGCAAGCGUUGUCCGGAUUUAUUGGGCGUAAAGAGCGUGUAGGCGGCUAGGUAGGUCCGUUGUGAAAACUCGAGGCUCAACCUCGAGACGUCGAUGGAAACCAUCUAGCUAGAGUCCGGAAGAGGAGAGUGGAAUUCCUGGUGUAGCGGUGAAAUGCGCAGAUAUCAGGAAGAACACCCGUGGCGAAGGCGGCUCUCUGGGACGUGACUGACGCUGAGGAGCGAAAGCGUGGGUAGCAAACAGG